GGCAGGGCGGCAGCUACACAUGCAGUCGAGCGGAACGAGUUAUCUGAACCUUCGGGGAACGAUAACGGCGUCGAGCGGCGGACGGGUGAGUAAUGCCUAGGAAAUUGCCCUGAUGUGGGGGAUAACCAUUGGAAACGAUGGCUAAUACCGCAUAACGCCUACGGGCCAAAGAGGGGGACCUUCGGGCCUCUCGCGUCAGGAUAUGCCUAGGUGGGAUUAGCUAGUUGGUGAGGUAAGGGCUCACCAAGGCGACGAUCCCUAGCUGGUCUGAGAGGAUGAUCAGCCACACUGGAACUGAGACACGGUCCAGACUCCUACGGGAGGCAGCAGUGGGGAAUAUUGCACAAUGGGCGCAAGCCUGAUGCAGCCAUGCCGCGUGUGUGAAGAAGGCCUUCGGGUUGUAAAGCACUUUCAGUCGUGAGGAAGGCGGUAAUGUUAAUAGCAUUAUUGUUUGACGUUAGCGACAGAAGAAGCACCGGCUAACUCCGUGCCAGCAGCCGCGGUAAUACGGAGGGUGCGAGCGUUAAUCGGAAUUACUGGGCGUAAAGCGCAUGCAGGUGGUUUGUUAAGUCAGAUGUGAAAGCCCGGGGCUCAACCUCGGAAUAGCAUUUGAAACUGGCAGACUAGAGUACUGUAGAGGGGGGUAGAAUUUCAGGUGUAGCGGUGAAAUGCGUAGAGAUCUGAAGGAAUACCGGUGGCGAAGGCGGCCCCCUGGACAGAUACUGACACUCAGAUGCGAAAGCGUGGGGAGCAAACAGGAUUAGAUACCCUGGUAGUCCACGCCGUAAACGAUGUCUACUUGGAGGUUGUGGCCUUGAGCCGUGGCUUUCGGAGCUAACGCGUUAAGUAGACCGCCUGGGGAGUACGGUCGCAAGAUUAAAACUCAAAUGAAUUGACGGGGGCCCGCACAAGCGGUGGAGCAUGUGGUUUAAUUCGAUGCAACGCGAGAACCUUACCUACUCUUGACAUCCAGAGAACUUUCCAGAGAUGGAAUUGUGCCUUCGGGAACUCUGAGACAGGUGCUGCAUGCUGUCGUCAGCUCGUGUUGUGAAUGUGGGUAAGUCCCGCACGAGCGCACCUAUCUGUUUGCAGCACGUCAGGUGGGUACUCCAGGAGAACUGCGUGAUAAACCGAGUAGUGGACGACGUCAGUCAUCAUUGGCUACCGAGUUAGGGCUUCACACACGGUGUCCUCACAAACUG
RNAcentral lists this ribosomal RNA (1202 nucleotides) under Vibrio sp. DH108. Its description in RNAcentral is "bacterial SSU rRNA". It matches the Rfam family "Bacterial small subunit ribosomal RNA", at positions 38 to 1246 of the family's 1533-position model. Lineage: Bacteria; Pseudomonadati; Pseudomonadota; Gammaproteobacteria; Vibrionales; Vibrionaceae. The record is from RNAcentral.